RNAcentral lists this ribosomal RNA (409 nucleotides) under Verrucomicrobia bacterium enrichment culture clone LiUU-15-738. RNAcentral's name for it is "bacterial SSU rRNA". It matches the Rfam family "Bacterial small subunit ribosomal RNA", at positions 509 to 916 of the family's 1533-position model. Lineage: Bacteria; Pseudomonadati; Verrucomicrobiota. The record is from RNAcentral.
CAGCCGCCGCGGUAAUACAGAGGUCCCGAGCGUUGUUCGGAUUCACUGGGCGUAAAGGGUGCGUAGGUGGUUGGUUAAGUUUGAGGUGAAAGCUCCGAGCUCAACUCGGAAAAUGCCUUGAAGACUAUCUGACUAGAGGAUUGGAGGGGAGAUUGGAAUUCUCGGUGUAGCAGUGAAAUGCGUAGAUAUCGAGAGGAACACCAACGGCGAAGGCAGCUUACUGGACAAGAUCUGACGCUCAGGCUCGAAAGCGUGGGGAGCAAAAGGGAUUAGAUACCCCUGUAGUCCACGCUGUAAACGGUGCGCAUUAGGUCUUGGAGCUUUCGAACGCUCCAGGGCUCAAGCUAACGCAUUAAAUGCGCCGCCUGAGGACUACGGCCGCAAGGCUAAAACUCAAAUGAAUUGACGG